This 459-nucleotide ribosomal RNA is filed under the name uncultured bacterium. Its description in RNAcentral is "bacterial SSU rRNA". It matches the Rfam family "Bacterial small subunit ribosomal RNA", at positions 29 to 507 of the family's 1533-position model. The record is from RNAcentral.
AACGAACGCUGGCGGCAUGCCUAACACAUGCAAGUCGAACGAGACCUUCGGGUCUAGUGGCGCACGGGUGCGUAACGCGUGGGAAUCUGCCCUUGGGUUCGGAAUAACUCAGAGAAAUUUGAGCUAAUACCGGAUGAUGACGUAAGUCCAAAGAUUUAUCGCCCAAGGAUGAGCCCGCGUAAGAUUAGCUAGUUGGUGGGGUAAAGGCCUACCAAGGCGACGAUCUUUAGCUGGUCUGAGAGGAUGAUCAGCCACACUGGGACUGAGACACGGCCCAGACUCCUACGGGAGGCAGCAGUCGAGAGGCUUCGGCAAUGGGGGAAACCCUGACCGAGCGACGCCGCGUGAGGGAUGAAGGCCCUUGGGUUGUAAACCUCUUUUGUUCGGGAAGAAGUGCGAUCAGGUGAAUAAUCUGGUCGUUUGACGGUACCGGACGAAUAAGCUCCGGCUAACUCCGUG